GAUGAACGCUGGCGGCGUGCCUAAUACAUGCAAGUCGAGCGAACAGACGAGGAGCUUGCUCCUCUGACGUUAGCGGCGGACGGGUGAGUAACACGUGGAUAACCUACCUAUAAGACUGGGAUAACUUCGGGAAACCGGAGCUAAUACCGGAUAAUAUAUUGAACCGCAUGGUUCAAUAGUGAAAGACGGUUUUGGUGUCACUUAUAGAUGGAUCCGCGCCGCAUUAGCUGGUUGGUAAGGUAACGGCUUUCCAAGGCGACGAUGCGUAGCCGACCUGAGAGGCUGAUCGGCCACACUGGAACUGAGACACGGUCCAGACUCCUGCGGGAGGCAGCAGUAGGGAAUCUUCCGCAAUGGGCGAAAGCCUUACGGAGCAACGCCGCGUGAGUUAUGAAGGUCUUCGGAUCGUAAAACUCUGUUAUUAGGUAAGAACAAAUGUGUAAGUAACUAUGCACGUCUUGACGGUACCUAAUCAGAAAGCCACGGCUAACUACGUG
RNAcentral lists this ribosomal RNA (497 nucleotides) under uncultured bacterium. RNAcentral's name for it is "partial 16S ribosomal RNA". It matches the Rfam family "Bacterial small subunit ribosomal RNA", at positions 28 to 507 of the family's 1533-position model. The record is from RNAcentral.